RNAcentral lists this ribosomal RNA (1436 nucleotides) under uncultured bacterium. Its description in RNAcentral is "bacterial SSU rRNA". It matches the Rfam family "Bacterial small subunit ribosomal RNA". The record is from RNAcentral.
AGAGUUUGAUCCUGGCUCAGAACGUACGCUGGCGGCACGCCUAACACAUGCAAGUCGAACGAAGUAGCAAUACUUAGUGGCAGACGGGUGAGUAACAUGUAGGUAUCUGCCCUUUGGCCUGGAAUAACACGAGGAAACUUGUGCUAAUACCGGAUAAGUCUUUACGGAGAAAGCUUUAUGCACCAUUGGAUGAGCCUGCACUUGAUUAGUUUGUUGGUGGGGUAAUGGCCUACCAAGACUGUGAUCAAUAGCUGAUUUGAGAGGAUGAUCAGCCACAUUGGGACUGAGACACGGCCCAAACUCCUACGGGAGGCAGCAGUGGGGAAUCUUGCACAAUGGAGGAAACUCUGAUGCAGCGAUGCCGCGUGAGUGAAGAAGGCCCUUGGGUUGUAAAGCUCUUUCGUCGGGGAAGAAAAUGACUGUACCCGAAUAAGAAGGUCCGGCUAACUUCGUGCCAGCAGCCGCGGUAAUACGAAGGGACCUAGCGUAGUUCGGAAUUACUGGGCUUAAAGAGUUCGUAGGUGGUUGAAAAAGUUGGUGGUGAAAUCCCAGAGCUUAACUCUGGAACUGCCAUCAAAACUUUUCAGCUAGAGUAUGAUAGAGGAAAGCAGAAUUUCUAGUGUAGAGGUGAAAUUCGUAGAUAUUAGAAAGAAUACCAAUUGCGAAGGCAGCUUUCUGGAUCAUUACUGACACUGAGGAACGAAAGCAUGGGUAGCGAAGAGGAUUAGAUACCCUCGUAGUCCAUGCCGUAAACGAUGUGUGUUAGACGUUGGAAAUUUAUUUUCAGUGUCGCAGCGAAAGCGAUAAACACACCGCCUGGGGAGUACGACCGCAAGGUUAAAACUCAAAUGAAUUGACGGGGACCCGCACAAGUAGUGGAGCAUGUGGUUUAAUUCGAAGAUACGCGCAGAACCUUACCAACACUUGACAUGUUCGUCGCGACUUUAAGAGAUUAAAGUUUUCGGUUCGGCCGGACGAAACACAGGUGCUGCAUGGCUGUCGUCAGCUCGUGUCGUGAGAUGUUGGGUUAAGUCCCGCAACGAGCGCAACCCUCACUUUUAGUUGCCAUCAUUAAGUUGGGCACUCUGAAAGAACUGCCAGUGAUAAGCUGGAGGAAGGUGGGGAUGACGUCAAGUCCUCAUGGCCCUUACGUGUUGGGCUACACACGUGCUACAAUGGUAUCUACAACAGGAAGCAAGACUGCGAAGUUAAGCAAAUCCUUAAAAGAUACCUCAGUUCGGAUUGCACUCUGCAACUCGAGUGCAUGAAGCUGGAAUUACUAGUAAUCGUGGAUCAGCGUGCCACGGUGAAUGCGUUCCCGGGUCUUGUACACACCGCCCGUCACACCAUGGGAGUUGGUUCUACCUUAAGGCAAGGUUUCAAACCCUUGACCACGGUAUAGUCAGCGACUGGGGUGAAGUCGUAACAAGGUAACC